UUACGGCCAUAUCACGUUGAAAGACCGAUUCUCGUACAAUCACCGAAGUUAAGCAACUUCGAAACUGGUCAGUACCUAGGUGGCUGACCGCUUGGGAAUACCAUAUGCUGUAA
Non-coding RNA from Acanthosepion pharaonis, 113 nucleotides. Lineage: Eukaryota; Metazoa; Mollusca; Cephalopoda; Sepiida; Sepiidae. The record is from the annotation of a GenBank genome assembly.